UUGUCUUUUAAAAAUAUAUAAAAGAAAACCUUUGCAAUUAUCCGUUCAAUAUAUUAGAAAGUUGGAGGUUAGUUUAAUGAGUGUCAUUUAAAGUUUCAACAACAGUCAGUUGGAGCUCGGAUACGAGGAGUGUUGUUGUUAGUACUUUUUGAGGCUCCUCUUCAAAUAAAACUGUUUAUUCUAACAUCCGGUGACAUGGAAGUAUUAAGCCUACGGAUCCUCUUUCUUCUGUGCUGCAUAUUUGCAAUGUCCGAGUGCCGUGGGGCGUGUGCAGAAGUGGACUCUGACACAGAGGCAGUGGCGGGCAAGGGCUUCAAACUGGGCUGCAUCUCCUGCAAGAUGAGGAGGGAGGUGGAGGCCACUGCCACUGUCGAAUGGUACUUCAGGCCGAAAGGAGAAGCCGACUUUGUUCAUAUCUACACCUACAACGAGGAAGGCCCCCUCAUUGAACACGACGACUUUAUGGACCGUUUGGAUUGGAACGGAACUAAGAGGAGCCAAGACAUCCAGGAUGGAUCCAUAUACCUGCACAACGUCACCUUCAAUGACACGGGCACCUACCGCUGCUUUUUCAACCGCAUCCUCUUCUACGCUAACCAUGAAAACAGCACCGUUAUCAGCAAAGUGGUCCAACUUUCUGUGGUGGCUAAAGCGACCAGAGGAACGGCUUCCAUCGUGUCCGAAGUCAUGAUGUAUGUGUCCAUCAUUGGCCUUCAGGUCUGGCUCCUCAUAGAGAUGAUAUACUGCUACAGGAAAAUAUCAGCAGCUGGGGAAGAAGCAUUGAGAGAAGCAGCAAAUGCUGAAUAUUUAGCGAUAGCCUCAGAAAGUAAAGAGAACUGCGCAGGGGUGCAGGUUGGAGAAUAGCACAGGUAGGUUUGUGAUCCCGAGGUGAAAGUGCAUGUCAGCAGCAUCAUUCCCAGGCUUCUUCCCUGGACUAAAAAUAUCCUUCCACCCUCUGACCUGCAUGUAGACAACUUGGGGGUAAAACUCCUCUUCACCUCAAGCCUCUAUUUGACCUUUUCCCUGACAAAGAUCACACAUGGAUAUUACAUACAAAGAGAGCAUGGUACCAGCACUGUAAAUAGUAUUCUGCGCCAAAAAAGCAUGUUCUGCUUCUGCACUUAUUUGAUUAUUUGAAAACCAUUAUGCAUUAAAGAGCCACAUUGUCGUAUUUUUAACGUACAGGAUUUCUUUUAAGUAUAUGUAGUCACUAGGGGUGUGACGAGACACUCAGCUCACGAGACAAGACAAGAGAUUGGGUUCACGAGACAAGACGAGAUUUUAACACUAUAUUAAAGAAAACUUAAAUGAUGAAAUAUGAAUGGAAAAAGUCUUUUAUGUAAGUCACAACAUGAAUUGUGAAAGGUUUUGCCACAAACUAAGAUAGCUUCUCUCCUGUAUUACUAACCUCUUCAGACCUCUCUCCUCCCAAAACCGGUCCAUAGAACCUAUUAAUCAAAAAAAUAUUAAUUUCUUACACACUUUUAUUCUUGUAUUUGUAUCUUAUUCUUCUUUUAGCCAUUUUUAUUUUCAUUACGUUAUGUAAAGCACUUUAAAUUGCCUUGUUGCCUAAAGGUGCAAUAGAAAUAAUAUUGCCUUGCCUUGCCUGUACAACCUCAGCCUGUCAGUCUGUAACCAGGGCAUAUGAAUGCUUUUGUCUUGUGCCUGUCACUCAGUCAGGCAAGUCUGUCUCGGAAGUAAACAUUAACUGCACGGCUAGCGAUCUCGCUAUUAUAUUAUAUUCCAGCAAACAGUGUCUGCGUGAAGUUUUGAAAAGUGUAACCACACGUGUCCGCUUUGCCAUGUCUCACUGUGACUUUAAGAAACUGCAGAGGCAAAUGUAACUUUCGGUGUGUGUGUGUGUGUGUGUGUGUGUGUGUGUGUGUUAUAAAAAAUAGAAUAUAAUGGACCUGGAUAGACUGUUUUUCCAGUUGCUAGUUGUACAUUCAAGUGUUCAAGUCUUAAGAUGUACUAAUAAAAAC
RNA transcript from Sander lucioperca (pikeperch), 1982 nucleotides. It is a transcript of the gene named sodium channel subunit beta-1-like, with no coding region annotated. The transcript has 7 exons. Lineage: Eukaryota; Metazoa; Chordata; Actinopteri; Perciformes; Percidae. The record is from RefSeq and is a predicted model, not a curated record.